This 571-nucleotide long non-coding RNA is filed under the name Rattus norvegicus (Norway rat). RNAcentral describes it as "long non-coding RNA NONRATT003678". Lineage: Eukaryota; Metazoa; Chordata; Mammalia; Rodentia; Muridae. The record is from RNAcentral.
UUUGGUUUCAGGAGUAAUUCAUGCAGCAAAUGCUCCAAGGAGCACCCUCCAGGUAACUUGGCAGAAGAGUUAAGAACCAGAAGACAGGAGACGCCCUCGGAUUAAACGCGUCAAAGGAGGGAAGUACCUGUUACGUUUACAGCCUCGUUCUUAGCCAAGGCACAGUGCCAACAGCUUUAUCGUCCCUUUAACAAAAGGUAUAAGUGCAAGAGAUGGCCCCUGAACCCCCAGUGUGUGCCUACUGCCACAGCUAUGGCUGAGGUAAUCCUCGCUUGCUUCCGAUCCCCAGCCUGAUGGAAUAGAGCACGUUUAUCACUUUUUGCAGAGAGCCGAGGUAAAACUGGUCCGAAGGUUAAGCCAGCAUUUCUUACAAAAUCCAUUCGAGGAUGACCACAUGUAGUGAGCACAGCUACUCUUGAAGGAAGCCACCUGCACCCUGCACCCCUACGGGGAGGGCACUUAACCUGAAAUGUAUCCCCCAACUUUGACAUCACCUAAGUUGACUAAGGCUCCUCAAGUGGGGCGUACACGCUUGGGGAUGAUGCGUAUGCAAGGCCAAGGCUUGCCACGG